Molecule: non-coding RNA, 21 nt
Filed under: Caenorhabditis elegans
Lineage: Eukaryota; Metazoa; Nematoda; Chromadorea; Rhabditida; Rhabditidae
Source: RNAcentral
GUAAUAGCAAGUAAGUUGAUG